RNAcentral lists this small RNA (3860 nucleotides) under Pongo abelii (Sumatran orangutan). Its description in RNAcentral is "processed transcript". The record is from RNAcentral. Lineage: Eukaryota; Metazoa; Chordata; Mammalia; Primates; Hominidae.
GUUAUGGGCGUGCGCAACUGCCUCGACGGCAAUCAUAUGUCAGGACAACGCGAUAUCCCCCCUGAAAUCGGGGAACAGCCCGAGCAACCACCUUUGGAGGCCCCAGGGGCAGCUGCCCCCGGUGCUGGGCCUAGCCCAGCCGAAGAGAUGGAGACCGAACCGCCUCACAACGAGCCCAUCCCCAUCGAGAAUGACGGCGAGGUCUGUGGACCCCCAGAGGUCUCCAGACCCAACUUUCAGGUCCUCAACCCGGCAUUCAGGGAAGCUGGAGCCCAUGGAAGCUACAGCCCACCUCCUGAGGAAGCAAUGCCCUUCGAGGUUGAACAGACCAGCUUGGGAAGCUUCUGGCCUACACUGGAGCAGCCUGGAUUCCCCAGUGGGGCCCAUGCAGGCCUUGAGGCCUUCGGCCCAGCACUCAUGGAGCCCGGAGCCUUCAGUGGUGCCAGACCAGGCCUGGGAGGAUACAGCCCUCCACCAGAAGAAGCUAUGCCCUUUGAGUUUGACCAGCCUGCCCAGAGAAGCUGCAGUCAACUUCUCUCACAGGUCCCAGACCUUGCUCCAGGAGGCCCAGGUGCUGCAGGGGUCCCCGGAGCUCCUCCCGAGGAGCCCCAAGCCUUCGGGCCUGCAAAGGCUGACUCCAGAGGAGGCUACAGCCCUCCCCCUGAGGAGACUAUGCCAUUUGAGCUUGAUGGAGAAGGAUUUGGAGACGACAGCCCACCCCCGGGGCUUUCCGGAGUUAUCGCACAAGUCGACGGCAGCGGCCAGUUCGCGGCAGUCGCGGCCUCGAGUGCGGUCCGCCUCACUCCCGCCGCGAACGCGCCUCCCCUCUGGGUCCCAGGCGCCAUCGGCAGCCCAUCCCGAGAGGCUGUCAGACCUCCUUCUAACUUCACGGGCAGCAGCCCCUGGAUGGAGAUCUCCGGACCCCCGCUCGAGAUUGGCAGCGCCCCCGCUGGGGUCGACGACACUCCCGUCAACAUGGACAGCCCCCCAAUCGCGCUUGACGGCCCGCCCAUCAAGGUCUCCGGAGCCCCAGAUAAGAGAGAGCGAGCAGAGAGACCCCCAGUUGAGGAAGAAGCAGCAGAGAUGGAAGAAGCCGCUGAUGCCGCGGAGGGAGGAAAAGUCCCCUCUCCGGGGUACGGAUCCCCUGCCGCCGGGGCAGCCUCAGCGGAUGCCGCCGCUGGGGCAGCCUCAGCGGAUACCGCUGCCAGGGCAGCCCCUGCAGCCCCAGCCGAUCCUGACUCCGGGGCAGCCCCAGAAGAUCCCGACUCCGGGACAGCACCAGCCGAUCCUGACUCCGGGGCAGCCCCAGCCGAUCCCGACUCCGGGGCAGCCCCUGCCGCCCCAGCCGAUCCCGACUCCGGGGCGGCCCCUGACGCCCCAGCCGAUCCCGACUCCGGGGCGGCCCCUGACGCCCCAGCCGAUCCCGACUCCGGGGCGGCCCCUGACGCCCCAGCCGAUCCCGACUCCGGGGCGGCCCCUGACGCCCCAGCCGAUCCCGACUCCGGGGCGGCCCCUGACGCCCCAGCCGAUGCCGACUCCCGGGCAGCCCCUGUCGCCCCAGCUGCGCCAGACGCAGGGGCUCCCACUGCCCCAGCCGCUUCUGCCACCCGGGCAGCCCAAGUCCGCCGGGCGGCCUCCGCAGCCCCUGCCUCCGGGGCCAGACGCAAGAUCCAUCUCAGACCCCCCAGCCCCGAGAUCCAGGCUGCCGAUCCGCCUACUCCGCGGCCUACUCGCGCGUCUGCCUGGCGGGGCAAGUCCGAGAGCAGCCGCGGCCGCCGCGGGUACUACGAUGAAGGGGCGGCCAGCAGCGACGAUGACUCCAGCGGAGACGAGUCCGACGAUGGGACCUCCGGAUGCUUCCGCUGGUUUCAGCAUCGGCGAAAUCGCCGCCGCCGAAAGCCCCAGCGCAACUUACUCCGCAACUUCCUCGUGCAAGCCUUCGGGGGCUGCUUCGGUCGAUCUGAGAGUCCCCAGCCCAAAGCCUCGCGCUUUUUCAAGGUCAAGAAGGUACCCCUGGCGGAGAAGCGCAGACAGAUGCGCAAAGAAGCCCUGGAGAAGCGGGCCCAGAAGCGCGCAGAGAAGAAACGCAGUAAGCUCAUCGACAAACAACUCCAGGACGAAAAGAUGGGCUACAUGUGUACGCACCGCCUGCUGCUUCUAGUCCGCCCCGCGCGCUCCUUGCCGAGGAGCCGAGCCCGCGCCCGGCCCGCCCGCCCGGCGCUGCCCCGGCCCUCCCGGCCCGCGUGAGGCCGCCCGCGCCCGCCGCCGCCGCAGCCCGGCCGCGCCCCGCCGCCGCCGCCGCCGCCAUGGGCUGCCUCGGGAACAGUAAGACCGAGGACCAGCGCAACGAGGAGAAGGCGCAGCGUGAGGCCAACAAAAAGAUCGAGAAGCAGCUGCAGAAGGACAAGCAGGUCUACCGGGCCACGCACCGCCUGCUGCUGCUGGGUGCUGGAGAAUCUGGUAAAAGCACCAUUGUGAAGCAGAUGAGGAUCCUGCAUGUUAAUGGGUUUAAUGGAGAGGGCGGCGAAGAGGACCCGCAGGCUGCAAGGAGCAACAGCGAUGGUGAGAAGGCAACCAAAGUGCAGGACAUCAAAAACAACCUGAAAGAGGCGAUUGAAACCAUUGUGGCCGCCAUGAGCAACCUGGUGCCCCCCGUGGAGCUGGCCAACCCCGAGAACCAGUUCAGAGUGGACUACAUUCUGAGUGUGAUGAACGUGCCUGACUUUGACUUCCCUCCCGAAUUCUAUGAGCACGCCAAGGCUCUGUGGGAGGAUGAAGGAGUGCGUGCCUGCUACGAACGCUCCAACGAGUACCAGCUGAUUGACUGUGCCCAGUACUUCCUGGACAAGAUCGAUGUGAUCAAGCAGGCUGACUAUGUGCCGAGCGAUCAGGACCUGCUUCGCUGCCGCGUCCUGACUUCUGGAAUCUUUGAGACCAAGUUCCAGGUGGACAAAGUCAACUUCCACAUGUUUGACGUGGGUGGCCAGCGCGACGAACGCCGCAAGUGGAUCCAGUGCUUCAACGAUGUGACUGCCAUCAUCUUCGUGGUGGCCAGCAGCAGCUACAACAUGGUCAUCCGGGAGGACAACCAGACCAACCGCCUGCAGGAGGCUCUGAACCUCUUCAAGAGCAUCUGGAACAACAGAUGGCUGCGCACCAUCUCUGUGAUUCUGUUCCUCAACAAGCAAGAUCUGCUCGCUGAGAAAGUCCUUGCUGGGAAAUCGAAGAUUGAGGACUACUUUCCAGAAUUUGCUCGCUACACUACUCCUGAGGAUGCUACUCCCGAGCCCGGAGAGGACCCACGCGUGACCCGGGCCAAGUACUUCAUUCGAGAUGAGUUUCUGAGGAUCAGCACUGCCAGUGGAGAUGGGCGUCACUACUGCUACCCUCAUUUCACCUGCGCUGUGGACACUGAGAACAUCCGCCGUGUGUUCAACGACUGCCGUGACAUCAUUCAGCGCAUGCACCUUCGUCAGUAUGAGCUGCUCUAAGAAGGGAACCCCCAAAUUUAAUUAAAGCCUUAAGCACAAUUAAUUAAAAGUGAAACGUAAUUGUACAAGCAGUUAAUCACCCACCAUAGGGCAUGAUUAACAAAGCAACCUUUCCCUUCCCCCGAGUGAUUUUGCGAAACCCCCUUUUCCCUUCAGCUUGCUUAGAUGUUCCAAAUUUAGAAAGCUUAAGGCGGCCUACAGAAAAAGGAAAAAAGGCCACAAAAGUUCCCUCUCACUUUCAGUAAAAAUAAAUAAAAUAACAGCAGCAAACAAACAGAAAUAAAAUGAAAUAAAAGAAACAAAUGAAAUAAAUAUUGUGUUGUGCAGCAUUAAAAAAAAUCAAAAUAAAAAUUAAAUGUGAGCAAAGAA